CUCAUCUGAAGUAAGAACCUUUUUAAAAGUAUAAAAAUAAAUGUGAAAAAACGAAAUUUGGUCAAACUGUUUUAAAGAUUGAGCGGCUCACCAUUUGAUUAUUUAAUAUACAAAAAUGGAGUCGUCAUCUACAGUUCAAAAAUAUUUUCUAGUAAAAUCUAAUAUUAAAAGGCAUUAUUUGAUUGCGAAUCUAAAACGGAAAGUUUACAUGAAGUCGUUGGAACAAAGAUUUAAGGAAUGACGAAAGAUUUUGAAGCACUUAUCUACGAUACUUUUGAUUCUGAUUUGAAAGAGCAUGCGAAAAGAGGGCGAAGAGCAAUGGAUAUAACAGAUUUGGCAAAAAAUCCUUCUUAUAUUGAGCAUUAUUUGUAAUCCAAAUGACAUCGAUGAAGAUUGCGAAAACAAUGAAAAUUACGAAAUAUGUGAAUACACUUAAAAUUUACCUACCAAUACCUUUUAUUAAUUUUCUAACAAAAAAUAAUAGCUUCUUUUUUGCCUAGCAUCUGCGAAGAAAUCAAUUGUUUGCAUAUUUUAGUACAUUACGAAAUGUAUUUGCACGACUACAAUACGAAAA
Stomoxys calcitrans (stable fly) is the source of this 574-nucleotide long non-coding RNA. RefSeq lists it as uncharacterized. The record is from RefSeq and is a predicted model, not a curated record. The transcript has 2 exons. NCBI's taxonomy places the organism in Eukaryota, Metazoa, Arthropoda, Insecta, Diptera, Muscidae.